GUGUCAGCCGCCGCGGUAAUACGGAGGGUCCAAGCGUUAUCCGGAAUCACUGGGUUUAAAGGGUGCGUAGGCGGCUUGGUAAGUCAGGGGUGAAAGCCCGGCGCUCAACGUCGGAAUUGCCUUUGAUACUGCUGAGCUUGAAUUAGGUUGAGGUAGGCGGAACGUGACAUGUAGCGGUGAAAUGCAUAGAUAUGUCACAGAACACCGAUUGCGAAGGCAGCUUACUGGACCUGGAUUGACGCUGAGGCACGAAAGCGUGGGGAGCGAACAGGAUUAGAUACCCCUGUAGUCC
This 292-nucleotide ribosomal RNA is filed under the name uncultured bacterium. Its description in RNAcentral is "partial 16S ribosomal RNA". It matches the Rfam family "Bacterial small subunit ribosomal RNA", at positions 505 to 796 of the family's 1533-position model. The record is from RNAcentral.